Molecule: ribosomal RNA, 426 nt
Filed under: uncultured bacterium
Lineage: Bacteria
Description: bacterial SSU rRNA
Rfam family: Bacterial small subunit ribosomal RNA
Source: RNAcentral
UGGGGAAUUUUGGACAAUGGGCGCAAGCCUGAUCCAGCAAUGCCGCGUGCAGGAUGAAGGCCUUCGGGUUGUAAACUGCUUUUGUACGGAGCGGAAAGGUCUGCCCUAAUACGGUGGGCUCUUGACGGUACCGUAAGAAUAAGCACCGGCUAACUACGUGCCAGCAGCCGCGGUAAUACGUAGGGUGCGAGCGUUAAUCGGAAUUACUGGGCGUAAAGCGUGCGCAGGCGGUUAUAUAAGACAGACGUGAAAUCCCUGGGCUCAACCUGGGGCCUGCAUUUGUGACUGUAUAGCUAGAGUACGGUAGAGGGAGAUGGAAUUCCGCGUGUAGCAGUGAAAUGCGUAGAUAUGCGGAGGAACACCGGUGGCGAAGGCAAUCCCCUGGACCUGUACCGACGCUCAUGCACGAAAGCGUGGGGAGCAAAC